UAUAUAGAUAACGUGCCUCUUAGUCUGGGAUAGCCAUUGGAAACGAUGAUUAAUACUAGAUACUCCUUCUCAUUCUAAUAUGAGUCGGGAAAGUUUUUUCGCUAAGAGAUCGGUCUAUAUCGCAUCAGUUAGUUGGUGGGGUAAUGGCCUACCAAGACAAUGACGCGUAGCGGGUUUGAGAGGAUGAUCCGCCACACUGGUACUGAGACACGGACCAGACUCCUAUGGGAGGCAGCAGUGAGGAAUAUUGCACAAUGGGGGAAACCCUGAUGCAGCAACGCCGCGUGGAGGAUGACGCAUUUCGGUGUGUAAACUCCUUUUAUAUGUCAAGAAAAUGACGGUAGCAUAUGAAUAAGCACCGGCUAACUCCGUGCCAGCAGCCGCGGUAAUACGGAGGGUGCAAGCGUUAUUCGGAAUCACUGGGCGUAAAGGACGCGUAGGCGGGUUGCCAAGUCUGAUGUGAAAUCCUAUGGCUUAACCAUAGAACUGCAUUGGAAACUGGUAACCUAGAGUAUGGGAGGGGGAGAUGGAAUUAGUGGUGUAGGGGUAAAAUCCGUAGAUAUCACUAGGAAUACCGAAAGCGAAGGCGAUCUCCUGGAACAUUACUGACGCUAAGGCGUGAAAGCGUGGGGAGCAAACGGGAUUAGAUACCCCGGUAGUCCACGCCCUAAACGAUGAACACUAGUCGUCGCUCUGCUAGUCAGGGCGGUGAUGCACUUAACAGAUUAAGUGUUCCGCCUGGGGAGUACGGUCGCAAGAUUAAAACUCAAAGGAAUAGACGGGGACCCGCACAAGUGGUGGAGCAUGUGGUUUAAUUCGAAGAUACGCGAGGAACCUUACCUGGGCUACAAUGUGAUCGCCACCCGCCGAAAGGCGGGGUUCCUUCGGGACGUGAAACAAGGUGCUGCAUGGCUGUCGUCAGCUCGUGUCGUGAGAUGUUGGGUUAAGUCCCGCAACGAGCGCAACCCCCGUCUUCAGUUGCCAGCACGUGAUGGUGGGGACUCUGGAGAGACUGCCGGCGCAAGCCGUGAGGAAGGUGGGGACGACGUCAAGUCAUCAUGGCCUUUAGGCCCAGGGCUACACACGUGCUACAAUGGCGGGUACAACGGGUCGCGAAGCCGCGAGGUGGAGCCAAUCCCCAAAAGCCCGUCCCAGUUCGGAUCGGGGUCUGCAACCCGGCCCCGUGAAGUUGGAAUCGCUAGUAAUCGCGCAUCAGCCAUGGCGCGGUGAAUACGUUCCCGGGCCUUGUACACACCGCCCGUCACACCAUGAAAGCUGGCUCUACCAGAAGUCGCUGCGCUAACUCUUCGGAGAGGUAGGCGCCCAAGGUAAGGCUGGUGAUUGGGGUGAAGUCGUAACAA
Molecule: ribosomal RNA, 1361 nt
Filed under: metagenome
Description: bacterial SSU rRNA
Rfam family: Bacterial small subunit ribosomal RNA
Source: RNAcentral